RNAcentral lists this long non-coding RNA (238 nucleotides) under Mytilus galloprovincialis (Mediterranean mussel). Lineage: Eukaryota; Metazoa; Mollusca; Bivalvia; Mytilida; Mytilidae. The record is from RNAcentral.
CCUUCAUGUGAUAACAAUGUGUAAUGAAAGCAAGUGUUUAAUUAGUUAAAAAUCAAGCUUAUUUCAAGUCUAAUUUGAUGCAUAACUCACAACAAAACAAUUCCUGUGUUCACCAAUUCAUACCUUGAUCAUCAAUUAUGAGAUGACAAAAAGAUAUGUUAAUGACUUGGGAAUUAAAAUUUAAUGAAUAAAAAUUUUCAAUAGAAGUGAACAUAAUUCAGUUAUGUUCAGUUGCACC